UUUUUCCAAUGUGUGCUCUGCUGGUGUUAAGUCUGAAUGAAGGGAGAGACUGGGAGUCAUUUCCUAACAUUGCUAUGGUUUGAAUGUGUCCCCUAAAUUUCACGUCUUGGAAACUUAAUCCCCAAAUUCAAAUGUUGAUUGGAAGUGGAACCUUUAGGAAGUAAUUAGGAUUAGAUAAGGUCAUCAGUGUGGGCCCCCACCCCCAUGAUGGGACUGGUGGCUUUUUAAGAAGAGGAAGAUAAGAAGGGAAAGAAAGACCUGAGCUGACAUGCACAUGCUUGACCACUUGUCAUGUGAUGCCCUUUGCCAUGUUGUGACACAGAAAGGAGGCCCUCACCAGAUGCCAGUGCCGUGUUCUUGGACUUCUCAGCCUCCAUAUUCAUGAACUAAGUUUUUGGAAUCCUUACGUUUCCACAUGUGGAAAGCCUGAGCUAACCUACUGGAGGAUGAGCCAUCACCUGGAGCAGACUCAGGCCAUCCUAGUUGAAGCCUCCCCAAGCCAAGCAACCUUCCAACUACCAGACAUUGACCAUUCAGCCUUGAACAUUCAGCACAAAGACAAAACAGACCAGACCAGAAGAGUCCCACAGAAUAGGGGAAACUAUUCAGAGAAAACUUAAGCCACUAAGUUUUAUGGUGUUUUGUUCUGUAGCAGAAGCAUACUGACAAUACAAACCGAAA
Molecule: long non-coding RNA, 681 nt
Filed under: Pongo abelii (Sumatran orangutan)
Lineage: Eukaryota; Metazoa; Chordata; Mammalia; Primates; Hominidae
Description: lincRNA
Source: RNAcentral